AAAGGAUCUGCAUUGAGAAAUGGUUCAGUGAUGGGCAUGAAACCUGUCCAAAGACUCAACAAAAGCUUUCUCAUCUCUGCUUGACUCCUAAUUAUUCUGUAAAGGGUCUCGUUGCUAGUUGGUGUGAACAGAAUGGAGUCCCAGCACCUGAUGGUCCCCCUGAGUCUCUUGACCUCAACUAUUGGAGGCUGGCAAUGUCCCAGCUUGACUCCUAAUUAUUCUGUAAAGGGUCUCGUUGCUAGUUGGUGUGAACAGAAUGGAGUCCCAGCACCUGAUGGUCCCCCUGAGUCUCUUGACCUCAACUAUUGGAGGCUGGCAAUGUCCCAGUUUGACUCGUCCAAUUCAAGAAGAUCAGUGGAGAGUGUCAGAUCUGGAAAGUUGAAAGGGGUCAAGGUAGUUCCUCUGGAGGAAAGUGAUCCCAUUGAGGAGGCUGAAGAAAAAAAUGAAAAAUUGUCACCGCAACAGGAAGAUUCCAUGCCAGAAGAUGCCUUCGGGGACAAUAUAUUUGAAAUAUAUAAGAAUUUCCUGGCCAUUUUGAAUGGUGAUGAAGAGUUGAAGAAAAAAAUGAAAAAUUGUCACCGCAACAGGAAGAUUCCAUGCCAGAAGAUGCCUUCGGGGACAAUAUAUUUGAAAUAUAUAAGAAUUUCCUGGCCAUUUUGAAUGGUGAUGAAGAGUUGAAGAAGAAGUGC
RNAcentral lists this long non-coding RNA (689 nucleotides) under Populus tremula. RNAcentral's name for it is "long non-coding RNA (PTRE_LNC002825)". Lineage: Eukaryota; Viridiplantae; Streptophyta; Magnoliopsida; Malpighiales; Salicaceae. The record is from RNAcentral.